Molecule: long non-coding RNA, 1285 nt
Organism: Panicum virgatum (switchgrass)
Lineage: Eukaryota; Viridiplantae; Streptophyta; Magnoliopsida; Poales; Poaceae
Exons: 4
Source: RefSeq, a predicted model, not a curated record
UCCUCCACCCCUUGGUGUCCGCCUACAGCCCUCCCUCCCUCGUGGCGCCGCCCUCCGCCCAUUCCUCCUCCCGCGCCCUCCCAUGGCGGCGGCGCCCUAGCAGCUCCAUCCUCCUCCCCUCCCUUCAGCCUCUCAGAUCCACUCGGGCGGCGCAGCCCUCCUGCAGGGAAUUUUUUUCCCGGCGCAGCCAGUCGUCGCAGCACCCUCCCACCCCAACGGUGCUGAGGGCGAGCUCCGACGGGCGGGUGCCGGGGCCAAGUUCCAGCGGCGCGCCCAAGGGCGGGCAUUGAGGGCGAGCUUCGGGCGGGUGCCGGGGUCAAGCUCCGGCGGCGCACCCAAGGGCGGGCAUUGACGACGAGCUCCGACGGGCAGGUGCUGGGGUCAAGCUCCGGCGGCGCGCCCAAGGGUCGUGCAGUCUGUUAAGAUCCAGCAGGUGUGCCCCCGGCGGCUUCAGCUGCGGCCUCUCCUUGGGACUGCGAGGGCUCAAGGCCUGCGGGUGUGCAGGUGCUCUCACCCUCCGCGUCAGGCAGCACGCGAGGCUCCGAGAAUGGAGAUCUCCUCUUCUGGAUCUAGCGCCCCACCCUCAACGAGUCCAGUUUCUGUCCAUCGAUGUCAAGUCUGAAGCGUGCUCAUCAGACUGCAGGUUCCAGUUCGAAUCCAUAUAAGGAGUGUUGAUUAGGUCAGGCAUCAGUUACUCUUUAGUCCUUAUCUAUUUUGAAUUAGAAAAGAAUGUUUGGAUGAUGCAGAAGAGAUGAACGAUUCCUGACCAAAGAUGGUAAUUCUAUCUCUCUUGGUUUCUCUGUCAACUACCUUUCCUCUGAGUUUGUGAGUGAUAAAUUAUAUCUUCAACCUUAAGUGAUAAACUACAUUUCCUCUUGCUGUCUUUUCAGUAUCAUAUUGACACUGAUCUCACAAUCUUCUUUAAUUUUGCUUUCAGAUGUAGUAGUAGAUUUAUGAGUUCUGAAGAUCAAUUCAGGCUAUGGUUGUGCUGGGACCAACGUCCUUGGAGGGGGCUUUGGCCAUACUGCUAAACCUUUUGCAAGUUCUUCUCCGGCUAGCUACAUCAAAUAUCUGUGGAUCUUCUUCAAGCCUCAAAGCUGAUGCGCUGGUGUCGACAGGACUGGCUGAAUUGGGCUACAACUAUUUAAAUAUUGGUAUACCACUUGGCUCAAUUCAGCAGAUUGUUGCAUCAAGGCAAGGGACUUUUGUCUAGAAAAAAAUAAUCAUACUCUUGUUUAUUGCUCGCUUCCACAAUGAUGCAAUAUUAUUAUAUGAAAAUAUUUUU